Molecule: ribosomal RNA, 253 nt
Filed under: uncultured bacterium
Lineage: Bacteria
Description: partial 16S ribosomal RNA
Rfam family: Bacterial small subunit ribosomal RNA
Source: RNAcentral
UACGAAGGGUGCAAGCGUUACUCGGAAUUACUGGGCGUAAAGCGUGCGUAGGUGGUGAGUUAAGUCUGUCGUGAAAGCCCCGGGCUCAACCUGGGAAUGGCGAUGGAUACUGGUUCGCUAGAGUGCGGUAGAGGAGAGUGGAAUUCCCGGUGUAGCAGUGAAAUGCGUAGAUAUCGUAAGGAAGACCAGUGGCGAAGGCGGGUCUCUGGACAGUUCCUGACGCUGAGGCACGAAGGUCAGGGGAGCAAACGGG